This 84-nucleotide transfer RNA is filed under the name Vampirovibrio sp. RNAcentral's name for it is "tRNA-Leu". It matches the Rfam family "tRNA". Rfam says of the family: Transfer RNA (tRNA) molecules are approximately 80 nucleotides in length. Their secondary structure includes four short double-helical elements and three loops (D, anti-codon, and T loops). Lineage: Bacteria; Bacillati; Candidatus Melainabacteria; Vampirovibriophyceae; Vampirovibrionales; Vampirovibrionaceae. The record is from RNAcentral.
GCCCCGGUGGCGGAAUUGGUAGACGCUGCGGACUUAAAAUCCGUUGGUAGCAAUAUCGUGCCGGUUCAAGUCCGGCCCGGGGCA